GGAGAGGUGUCCGAGUGGCUUAAGGAGCUAGUCUUGAAAACUAGUGACUCCGAAAGGAGCCGGGGGUUCAAAUCCCUUCCUCUCCG
This 86-nucleotide transfer RNA is filed under the name Lachnospiraceae bacterium oral taxon 500. RNAcentral's name for it is "tRNA-Ser". It matches the Rfam family "tRNA". From Rfam's summary of the family: Transfer RNA (tRNA) molecules are approximately 80 nucleotides in length. Their secondary structure includes four short double-helical elements and three loops (D, anti-codon, and T loops). Further hydrogen bonds mediate the characteristic L-shaped molecular structure. tRNAs have two regions of fundamental functional importance: the anti-codon, which is responsible for specific mRNA codon recognition, and the 3' end, to which the tRNAs corresponding amino acid is attached (by aminoacyl-tRNA synthetases). tRNAs cope with the degeneracy of the genetic code in two manners: having more than one tRNA (with a specific anti-codon) for a particular amino acid; and 'wobble' base-pairing, i.e. permitting non-standard base-pairing at the 3rd anti-codon position. Lineage: Bacteria; Bacillati; Bacillota; Clostridia; Lachnospirales; Lachnospiraceae. RNAcentral also lists the same sequence under 3 other names. The record is from RNAcentral.